Molecule: non-coding RNA, 22 nt
Filed under: Rattus norvegicus (Norway rat)
Lineage: Eukaryota; Metazoa; Chordata; Mammalia; Rodentia; Muridae
Source: RNAcentral
UCCUAAAUUGACAGAUAGUGGC